GAAUAAUUGUGAAAAGUUUUUCUCGAGGGUACAAUACAGGGGCAGUGAGAGCUGGCAAGGAAAGGGUGAAAUAGGUCUUGUUAGUGCUGGCUAAGCUGGAGAGGUGGCAAGUGGCUGUGGCGAUCAUCCAUGAGGAAAAGUGAGGCAAGGAAGGCGGCUUCUAGAUACACGGAUGUGUGGUGUUCAUCUGUGUGGUUUGUGCACAUGCAUACAUGUCCUGAUAGUGGCGUUCAGUGACCUUUGUCACAAAACUUAAGCCACAAAGCUCCUUGUUUCCCAGCCUAGACAGAGCAAUCCCUGACCUUGGAACUCAGAUCUAGACUCGGAAUGGUACUUUGCUCUGUUUUUGCCGUCAUACUUUACACCACGUCCAUGAGCAAAUCCUCAAAAAAAAAAAAAAAAUCCCAAACUGACGCUCUCACUCCCUCAUUAUUGGCUUGUGGCUUGCCUGGACGGACACAGUACUCUGCAAACACUAACAGGGGUCACAGUGAUCUCUGGAGUUGUAUUCCAGAUCACACCAUGUCUCUUCAUGCUCCGGAUAGAUGGUAGCUUCCCUGUCAGGGUCCCCUGUGGUCUCACCUUGGGCGCCCCCCUUCAUUUUUGGAACUCUAGACUCCCCAGUCAUCUUAUGUUCCCUCGUCCAUGUUUGCUAGGAUCCUAUGGCCUUUGUGUUGCUUUCCGUGUCUAGAGUGGUCUUUCCCGAGAUAUAUGUGUGUGCAUGUGAUUUGCACUUAUUAGUUCAGCUUUGUUAUUGUUUUAUUUAGAGAUGGGGUCUUACGUAGCCCAGGCUGGUCUCAGUAUAGCCAAGGCUGGCCUUGAAUUCCUGAUCCUUCUGUCUCUACCUCCUAAGGGCUGGGAUUACAGAUGUGCGCCGUCGUGGCUAAGUGCUACCUCCUCAGAGAAACCUCCCUUGACCACCCACUCUAAGGAGACUUCCUAGUGUUUCUGUCCCCUUAUCACACCUUUAAAAAUUUAUCUCAUGCAGGGCUGGAGGUGGUGGCGCACACCUUUAAUCCCAGCACUUGGGAGGCAGAGACAGGUGGAUCUCUGUGAGUUUGAGGUCAGCCUGGUAUACAGAGUGAUUUCCAGGACAGCCAGGACUACACAGAGAUGCCCUGUCUUAAAAAACCAAAACAACAACAACAACAACAAAAAUCUCAUUUAUUACCAGCUGUAAUUGCAGUAUUUAGAUUUUUAUAUUAUGGACCAUUUCAAACAAGUAUAAGAAUAGAGAAGCUUGUCUGACAGGUUGCAUGAGCCUGUUCCUCAGCUGACAAUCAUCACCAGCAGGCAGGUCUUACUCUCCCCUCCAGACAUCUUAUCUGCAAACACUUCUAUGCAAAGGUUGAUAUUUAUCGCUCAUUCUCCAUUUUUUCCAAUGUAAUAUUUUUCUAUUUGGGGAUUUCACAUAAGGCACUCAAUCCUCAGUCCUUCCAGCUCUGCCUCCCCACCCUUGUGAACUCCCCCCCCCCCAAGAAAGAAAGGCAGAGGAGGAAGAGGAGGAGGAAGAAAAAACAUAUCCAAUUUGUGUUACCCAUAUACUCACUGGAACAUGGUCAAACCCCCAGUGGCCAGCCCCUUAAAGGAACUGAGUCCUUUCCUACCCCACCCCCACCAGAAGCCAAAAUCUAUGGAGAUUUCAGCUUCUGCAUCCUUUUCAUGCUUUUGUUGCUGUUGUUGUUGUUGUUGUUUUGAGACAGGAUUUCUCUGCGGCUUUGGAGCCUGUCCUGGAACUAACUCUGUGGACCAGGCUGGGCUUGAACUCACAGAGAUCCGCCUGCCUCUGCCUCCCGAGUGCUGGGAUUAAAGGCAUGCACCAUCACUACCCAGCUUCCAAAUGGUUUUUGCUGACCAUGAACAUCCGUCUGGUCUUCAGUUGUCAGCAUGCACCACAGACCUCAGCAUGGUCUCUGGUGUCAGUAAAGAUGAUGAACAUCUAGAUGGCUCUUGGUUGCAGCAUAAGAAGUCAUCAACAUGACUUCCAGGUCAACAUGAGCCACGAACAUCAAUAUGGUCUCCAGCAGUAGCCCAGCCAUGGACAUCAACAUGGCCUUAGGCAGCAGCACAGACCACGGACACCCACACGGCCUUUAGUGGGAAUAUGACCCACAGAUAUCAUUUAUUUUUUAUUUAUCCUUUUUUCUCUUUUCUUUAUUUCCUUCCUUUAUUUUAUUUUAUUUUAUUUUUCUGAAACAGGGUCUCUCAAUGUAGCCUAGGCUGGAACUGGCUAUGGCUAUGUAGAUCAGGCUGGGCUCGAACUCAGAGAUCUGCCUGCCUCUGCCUCCCGAGUUCCGGGAUUAAGGACAUGAGCCACUACACCAGGCUUUAUUUUUUUGAGUCAAGAUCUUUCUUUGUAGCCCAGGCUGGUCUGGAAUUCACUACGUAGCCCAGGCUAGUCUGGAAUUCACUGUGUAGCCCAGGCUGGUCUCAAACUCAUGACAAACCUGCUUUAGUCUCCCAAGUUCUAGGAUUAUAAACUCAACUUUGUUUUACUAAACUUUGACUUAUUUUUGACCAGAAACGGAAGGCUAGCUAUAUACUGAGCACACUGUAAGAAACUGAUAUUGUAGUACCUGCCGCUGUUUUUGUGUAGCACAGGCUGGCUUUGGGCUCCCAUUUCCCUUGCUUCAGCUUUCUAAAUAUUAAAGGUGUGAAUCAUGAGGCCCAACUGGUAAGGUUAUUGUCUCUGUUUAUAUUUUAUUUUGUUGAUACAAGGUCAUAUGUAGCCCAGACAAGCCUCACACUAACUAUGCAGUCAAUGAUAACUUUAAAUUCUUUGCCUCUACCUCCCAAAGUGCUAGAAUUCCUGGCGAAAGCUGUUUGCCUAGAUGCGAAGCGGUGUUCCCGGCAGCUGGGUUUGUCCGGCUUAUUCCCCGCUACACCUCAUAUUUAACAUAGGGCCUUGCUCAGAGCAAGUGACUCUGGACAUUUGCAGGGCUGUCAGCUGUUCUCCUGUGGUUUUGUGUCUCUUGCAGUGCCAGUGAGACUCAGCGCAUGCGUGUGCACGGAAGCAUGUGGCAGUCCUCUGGAUGGCACCCAACUUAGGGCCUGAGGAACAUCACUGCACAAGGAGGACAGGCCUGUCCACGCACUUGGACCACCACGACCAGUGGGCAAAGCACUGGUCCAGCAAGAAUCGCCAUGGUAACCCGACCAUGAGACAGAUUCGAGGGAAUUCAUCAGUGAUGCAAGAAAGAAAAUAAAGCUGGGCCUGAUGAUGUUGUAGCACCCCAUAAAGGAAUUCGAGAAAUGAUUGGAUAGGAAUCCUUGAUCCAGUCUUCCCUGCCCCCACGGAGAAAAAUGCCUGAUAGCAGUACCUGCUAAACCACUCAACACAGCCUGCCUCCAGGAGUCCUCACAAAGAGACCCCGCUGAGAUAAUCACCAAGACGUGCUUCAGGUAGCUGAAUCCCAGGAAUCUCACUUGCCCCGAAGCACAAGUGCUGAGCUGCUUCCAGACCUGGGAUGCAGACACAGAUGCCCUGCUGGGACCAUGGCGACUACAAUUUUCUGCAGUUUGAAUCCUGUUUGCUUUGGAGCUAAUAUGCAGACUAAACAUCUGACUUUUUUUUAAUCUUUGGGACACAGAACUCAUUUUGUUUAAAAUAUUAACCCCUCUUCACUUAAGAAGGGGGCAGACUUGGGGUUUGACUGUUGCUCAGAGACUGGAAUUGGUGUUUAAUAACAACAAUGUCAUUGUACUCUUACUGGAAUUGACCUAAUGAUAUUUGUAACUUUUUAUAGAUGUUGAGAAAAGUUUGACACACCCUGUAAAAUCUUUGGGUUUAAUGCAUAUGUAAAGAAUUUUAUAUUUUUGA
Alexandromys fortis (reed vole) is the source of this 3820-nucleotide long non-coding RNA. RefSeq lists it as uncharacterized. The record is from RefSeq and is a predicted model, not a curated record. The transcript is spliced from 3 exons. Lineage: Eukaryota; Metazoa; Chordata; Mammalia; Rodentia; Cricetidae.